CAUGCAAGUCGAGCGGUAACAGAGAGUAGCUUGCUACUUUGCUGACGAGCGGCGGACGGGUGAGUAAUGCUUGGGAAUAUGCCUUUGAGUGGGGGACAACAGUUGGAAACGACUGCUAAUACCGCAUAAUGUCUACGGACCAAAGGGGGGGAUUCUUCGGAACCUCUCGCUCAUAGAUUAGCCCAAGUGAGAUUAGCUAGUUGGUAAGGUAAUGGCUUACCAAGGCGACGAUCUCUAGCUGGUUUGAGAGGAUGAUCAGCCACACUGGGACUGAGACACGGCCCAGACUCCUACGGGAGGCAGCAGUGGGGAAUAUUGCACAAUGGGCGAAAGCCUGAUGCAGCCAUGCCGCGUGUGUGAAGAAGGCCUUCGGGUUGUAAAGCACUUUCAGUUGUGAGGAAAGGGAUGUAGUUAAUAACUGCAUUCUGUGACGUUAGCAACAGAAGAAGCACCGGCUAACUCCGUGCCAGCAGCCGCGGUAAUACGGAGGGUGCGAGCGUUAAUCGGAAUUACUGGGCGUAAAGCGUGCGUAGGCGGUUUGUUAAGCAAGAUGUGAAAGCCCCGGGCUCAACCUGGGAACUGCAUUUUGAACUGGCAGGCUAGAGUAUUGUAGAGGGUGGUGGAAUUUCCAGUGUAGCGGUGAAAUGCGUAGAGAUUGGAAGGAACAUCAGUGGCGAAGGCGGCCACCUGGACAAAUACUGACGCUGAGGCACGAAAGCGUGGGGAGCAAACAGGAUUAGAUACCCUGGUAGUCCACGCCGUAAACGAUGUCAACUAGCUGUCUGUAGACUUGAUCUGUGGGUAGCGCAGCUAACGCGAUAAGUUGACCGCCUGGGGAGUACGGCCGCAAGGUUAAAACUCAAAUGAAUUGACGGGGGCCCGCACAAGCGGUGGAGCAUGUGGUUUAAUUCGAUGCAACGCGAAGAACCUUACCAUCCCUUGACAUCCAGAGAAAUUUUCUAGAGAUAGA
RNAcentral lists this ribosomal RNA (970 nucleotides) under Colwellia sp. Nordv5. RNAcentral describes it as "bacterial SSU rRNA". It matches the Rfam family "Bacterial small subunit ribosomal RNA", at positions 54 to 1010 of the family's 1533-position model. Lineage: Bacteria; Pseudomonadati; Pseudomonadota; Gammaproteobacteria; Alteromonadales; Colwelliaceae. The record is from RNAcentral.